AGCUUUGUGCAGUGGCAGAACAUAGCCAAUGAGGUUUAUCUGAGGUGUAAUUAUUGCUAAUUGAAAAAAAAAAUGAAGACA
Molecule: non-coding RNA, 81 nt
Organism: Pongo abelii (Sumatran orangutan)
Lineage: Eukaryota; Metazoa; Chordata; Mammalia; Primates; Hominidae
Source: Rfam